GAUGAAGAACGUAGCGAAAUGCGAUAAGUAAUGUGAAUUGCAGAAUUCAGUGAAUCAUCGAAUCUUUGAACGCACCUUGCGCCCUUUGGCUAUUCUGAAGGGCAUGCCUGUUUGAGUAUCAUGAACACCUCAACUCUCAUGGUUCGCCAUGAUGAGCUUGGACUUUGGGGGUCUUGCUGGCCUACGGUCGGCUCCUCUCAAAUGAAUCAGCUUGCCAGUGUUUGGUAGAGUCGCAGGUGUGAUAACUAUCUACGCUUGUGGUUUUCUGCCAGAUAACCUUCAGUGAUGGAGGUUCGCUGGAGCUUAUAAAUGUCUCUCCCCAGUGAGGACAGCUUUUUGAACGUUUGAUCUCACAUCAGGUAGGACUACCCGCUGAACUUAAGCAUAUCAAUAAGCGGAGGA
This 402-nucleotide unclassified non-coding RNA is filed under the name soil metagenome. RNAcentral describes it as "partial contains 5.8S ribosomal RNA, internal transcribed spacer 2, and large subunit ribosomal RNA". The stretch from base 1 to 121 matches the Rfam family "5.8S ribosomal RNA", at positions 35 to 154 of the family's 154-position model. The record is from RNAcentral.